RNAcentral lists this unclassified non-coding RNA (367 nucleotides) under uncultured Tremellaceae. Its description in RNAcentral is "sequence contains ITS1". The stretch from base 1 to 105 matches the Rfam family "5.8S ribosomal RNA", at positions 50 to 154 of the family's 154-position model. The record is from RNAcentral. Lineage: Eukaryota; Fungi; Basidiomycota; Tremellomycetes; Tremellales; Tremellaceae.
GAAAUGCGAUAAGUAAUGUGAAUUGCAGAAUUCAGUGAAUCAUCGAAUCUUUGAACGCACCUUGCGCUCCUUGGUAUUCCGAGGAGCAUGCCUGUUUGAGUGUCAUGAAAACCCUCAACCUUCGAUUGGUUAAACCCUUUCUUUGGCUCGGAUUUGGACGUUUGCCGCUGAUAAGUCGGCUCGGCUUAAAAGUAAUAGCUGGAUCUGUCUCGCGACAUGGUUUGACUUGGCGUAAUAAGUAUUUCGCUAAGGACAUCUUCGGAUGGCCGCGUUGAAAGACUAAAGACCGAUUUCUAAUUCAUUGAUCUUCGGAUUAAUAUUCUUGACAUCUGGCCUCAAAUCAGGUAGGACUACCCGCUGAACUUAA